This is a long non-coding RNA of Ctenopharyngodon idella (grass carp), 970 nucleotides long. RefSeq lists it as uncharacterized. The transcript has 3 exons. The record is from RefSeq and is a predicted model, not a curated record. NCBI's taxonomy places the organism in Eukaryota, Metazoa, Chordata, Actinopteri, Cypriniformes, Xenocyprididae.
GUAAUUGAGGACUUGAGGGCACCUGCCUACAUGAAGAUGAGUGAUAAACAUAUUGCUUUGCUGCCAAAUAUCAGUCAUGAUGAAUGGCCUGCUCAAGGUGCUGUUUUCAGAAAACAGGCUGUUCCUCAUGGUCAGGCCUGGAUUGCUGUCAUCUUCGCGAAGGCCACUGGGCCCAAACACGUGCAUCAGCUGACAAGUGUUCCACCUCUGCAUAAGGACAGCCAGCCCUCAUUCCUUUUGGUACAUGAAUCCAGGGCUGACUUAAUUGAAGUGGUCAGUGUUAGGACCGAUGUGAACACACACUGGCGUUCAUGAAGGUCCAUGGAACGAGCCGACUAAUGGAAGACCAGCUGGCUAGAUUCUUCAUAAAAUAAGGGUACAUGUCAGGAGGAGAGAAGCUCUCUCUAAAGAGAUCACCGCAGGCUGGCGUAGCUCCCUUCAUCUCUCAGACAAACCAUCUAUCAGCUGUAGCUGUUCUUCAUGGAUCCCUUCUGCCUUGAUAUACACAUGGGUGAGUCUCAAAGGCUGCGAUAUGUUAGAUUGUUUUUCAAUGGGCUUUUUAUUGCACUUAAUUAUCCUGCCUACAGCGUUCAGAGCAUAAAGGAAUAUUCCCAGCCCGGGAGUUAAGCACAGUUGACAGCAUUUUGUGGUUUGAUGUUGAUUACCACAAAAAUUAAUUUUGACUCCUUUAAAAAAAAAAAAAAAAAGAAAAAAAAAAAGACACAAAUUUGAGUUACAGUGGAGGUAAAAGGGCCCAAUCCUUAAACGUUAAACACUUUUACAACUAUUAUUGCUAUGGCAACAGAUCUGCAAACCUUAAAACUGCUGUAAAAAUGAUUUAAACAGCUUUACAACUCAAGUUUUAACAAAAUAAUUAAUGCUUUUUUUAAAAUUAUAAGCUUCACAUUUCUGCUUUUAAAUGAUCCAAAGGUUGGCCCCAUUCACUUUCACUGUGUCUUACUGUAACCUU